This 6055-nucleotide long non-coding RNA is filed under the name Vigna radiata. RNAcentral's name for it is "long non-coding RNA (VRAD_LNC011381)". Lineage: Eukaryota; Viridiplantae; Streptophyta; Magnoliopsida; Fabales; Fabaceae. The record is from RNAcentral.
UUCAUUUCAUUGUGAAAACCAUCUAGGGAUCAACCUAGAAAUAAAAGUUUGUUAAUUAUUUAUACACCUUGUGUGUUUUUAUAUCUUUCUUGCUUGAGGUAAUACUCUGGAGGCAGAUGAUAUUUAUCUUCAGAACAUCAAGAACAACAAUCAAAGAAAGAAUCAAAAGGCAACCACUGUACAGGUAUUAAUUCAGAACUUUUACAAUAUCAUAUAGUUGUUUAGCAUAAUAAAAACAUAAAACAAGUAUUAAUUGAUGCAGGAACAUGUGUCAUAAUAUUAUAUAGGAAUAGAUUGUGCUUUAAAUCCAGAAUAACUAGAAAGGCUUAAAUAUAUUAGAUCAAUUAGUCCAUUAUAAAAUAACAAAAGAAUGUAUAAAGAUAAAUAGGAUAAAAAUCCCGAGAAUCAGAUUACAUAUACAAGAUAUCAGAAACCUUUAGUAAAUUAAACAAAGGAAUCGAUAAGGGAAUAAGCAGAAACAAGUAAAAGGCAUCAGGUUAUAAAAUUAAAAGAAAAUAAUAAAAUAAAAGAGAAUAUAAAACAAUAUAAGUUAACACUCACAAGAAAAUAUAAAACAAGGAUGGAUUCAAACUAGUCUAAGUAGAAGAAGACUAAACAGAGAAAAUAUACUAUAUUUAGGAAAGUUUACCACAACAACCAAUAGCUAUAGCAGAAGCAUCUGGAAAGAUAGAUAAUAAACGAAGAACAAUUAUAUAAAUUAAUGAAAUCUAUAAAAAAAAAAGAAAUGUAGAAGUAGAAUAGCAUACAUCCAUAUAGAUAAUAUAUACAAAUAAUAAUUAAUCCAAUUGGUUUGUAUUCAUCCAAUUAUAAUUUAUAUAUAUAUAUAUAUAUAUAUAUAUAUAUAUAUAUAUAUAUAUAUAUAUAUAUAAUAGUAAUAAUAAUAAUAUUAAUUAUUAUUAUUAUUAUAAUUAGAAUAAUAUAAAUAAUCCAUAAAAAUAUUAAACCAAAGAUAAGCCUCUACAAAUAAAAGAUAUUAAAAAUUUACAUUCUCAAAUUAAUUAUUCAAGUAAUAGAAAACAAAACGUAAAAAGAAACUUCCAAUAGUUCAAAAGAACCUAAAAACCAAUAUAUAAAUUAUUUAACGUAUCACAAAAAGAAUUAGAUUAAUUGAGAUUAAAAAGUGAUAUAGAUUUAAAAAUAAGAAUUGAAAAAAAAAAUUAGAUAAACUAAAUAAGGCAUUAAUAAAUACAUUACAAAUCAAUAAAUUAAAAAUAUGCCCAAAGCAUAGAAACUAUUACAAUUUGAAGGGAGAGAGGAGAACUGGUACAAAAUGCUUUCUUUGAAAAUGGAAUUUAGAUGGAAUGAAUGAACAAACUAUUUUAGAUAUGAUUUGUCAAAUGACAAUGACAUCUAUUAUCCAUAAAACUAAAGGUUGUAGCGCUAAAUCUGCUGUUAUAAUCACUGUACAAGGAUUCAUUGGCCAAUUAAAAGGUUUGUGGGAUAAUCUCUGCACAAAACAAGAUAAAUUAGCAAUUAUCAAUAGUGUAAAAACUGAAACAAAUCAAGAAGAUCCAAUCUCGAGAAUAUCAUUAAGGCCUCAAUGCCUCAAAUUCAACCAAAUAUUCAAUCGACCUUGGCGGAAAUACUAAAAUCCCCUCCAACAAUAACUGAUACAUCUAAAAAUCCCCUUGCCAAAACCUCUAAUAAAUUUACUCCUCUUCAAUAUCAAAACAUCCCCCAUUGGACCAAAAGACUUUACCCUAGUCACUAAAUCACAGCAAGAACAAACCUUAGAAGAGUAUACCUAUAAGCCAGAAACUGCCCCAGUCAUUAUUUUAGAAAAAGCCUAGAUAUAUGAUUUUGCAAGAAUAACAGCCCAAAACUUAUUUCCCAAAGAUUUCCAUUAUCCUUCAAUAUACCUAGCAAAACUAGAAUAUUUUAUGAGUUUAUUUUAGUAGACACUGAUUCUGCUGAAAUAUCUCAUACUAAAAAUGUGCAAGGAAUUAUUCUUUUUUUUCAAAACUAAAAUUCUUAAAAGUAUUAUUUCCAUAAGAAUGGAGCCAACAACCCCAUGAUUCUAAAACCUUCUCAAGAACCUUUAAUCGACUUACAAUUAUUAUGAUUAUAUAGAAGUCUAGUCAAAAGCAUUGUAUGUCCAUCCAGGAACCCACUUGUGGUUUAUCUGGUUAAGAGAGGAAUCUCCCUAAAAUUUCCUAGAUGGUUUAUUAAAUGGUUCUCAGAAUUCGGCCCACUAUCAUCUAUCUUCCCAUCUUAGGUAGUAGAAGUUUAUUCUUAUUUUAGAGAAAAGACUUCAUUUGAUUCAGGAUAUUGAUAUCCUUUGUGGCUACUCUCAUUCUAUAACGUGAAUUGUAGCCUGGGAAUAUAUUAAAGAACCAGCUUAUGAAAAUGUACACAUAAGAUCUCUUUCAAGAAAGUUUAAACUCAAGUGGUGGAAUAAACUUAAUACCAACUUCAUUAGCAAGAAUAUUGAUCAAUGACAAGCCAAUUACAAACAAAAGAAGGAAGAAACAAGUCUAUCAUUAACCCAGGAAUCAUUAUUUCUGCUAAUACUCUCUGUUUUUCAGCUAGAAAUAAUGAUUCCUAAUUUAAUGCUAGACUUGUUUCUUCCUUCUUUUGUCAGUAAUUGGCUUGCCAUUGAAUAAUAUUUUUCUUGCUGAUGAAGCUGGUAUUAAAUUAAUUCCACCACUUGAGUUUACACUUUCUUGAGAGAGAUCUUAUGUCUACAUUUUCAUAAACUGGUUCUAUAAUAUAUUCCCAGGCUACAAUCCAAGUUAUAAACUGAGUAGUCACAAAGGAUACUAAUCUUUAGCCUGAAUCAAAUGAAGUCUUUUCUCUAAAAUAAGAAUAAACUUCUACAACCUGAGAUGGGAAGACUGACAGUAGUGGGCCAAAUUCUGAGAACCAUUUUAUAGACCAUAUGGGAGAUUUUAGAGAGAUUCUUCUCCUAAACCAGAUAUACCACAAGUGGGUUCCUAGAUGGACAUACAAUGCUUUUGACCAGGCUUCUAUAUAAUCAUAAUAAUUGUAUGUCUGGGAAUUAAAGGUUCUUGAGAAGGUUUUAUAAUCAUGGGGUUGUUGGCUCCAUUCUUCGGGAGAUAAUAAUUUUAAGACUUUUAGUUUUGCAAAAAGAAUAAUUCCUUGCUCAUUUUUAGUAUGAGAUAUUUCAGCAAAAUCAGUGUCUACUAAAAUAAACUCAUAAAAUAUUUUGGUUUUAGCUAGGUCUAUUGAAGGAUAAUGGAAAUCUGUAGGAAAUAAGUUUUGGGUUAUUAUUCUUGCAUAAUCAUAUAUCCAGGCUUUUUCUAAAAUAAUGAUUGGGAUAAUUUCUCGCUUGUAGGUAUACUCUUCUAAGGUUUGUUCUUCUUGUGAUUUAGUGACUAGGGUAAAGUCUUUUGAUCCAGUGAGGAUGUUUUGACAUUAAAGAGGAGUAAAUCAAUUAGAGGUUUUGAUAAGGGGAUUUUUAGAUAUACCUGCUAUUGUUGGAGGGGUUUUUAAUAUUUCCGCCAAGGUCAAUUGAACCUUUGGUUGAAUUUGAGGCGUCUUCUACCUUAAUGAUAUUGUCGAGAGUGCAUCUUCUUAUUUGUUUCAGAUUUUACACUAUUGAGAAUUGCUAAUUUAUCUUGUUUUGUCCAGAGAUUAUCCCACCAACCUUUUAAUUGGCCAGUGAAUCCUUGUACAAUGGCUAUAGCAGGAGAUUUGUCUCUACAAUCUUUAGUGUUACAGGAGAUUUGUCUCUACAAUCUUUAGUGUUAUGGACAGUAGCUGUCAUUGUCAUUUGACAAGUCAUAUCUAAAUUAGCUUGUUCACUCAUUCCAUCUAAAUUUCAUUCAGUUUUUUCAUUUCUAGAGAAAGUAUUUUGUACUAGUUCUCCUCUCUCUUCAAAUUGCACAUCAGGAGGUAUGAGACGAGGAUAAUAUUUUCUAAGCUUUGGGUAUGUUUUUAAUUUAUUAAUUUGUAAUGUAUUUAUUGACAACUUAUUUAGCUCAUCUAAUUUCUUUUUUAUUAUUCUAUUUUUAAAUUUAUAUCACUUUUUAAUCUUAAUGAAUCUAAUUCUUUCUCUAGUACGUUAAAUAAUUUAUAUAUUGGUUUUAUAGUUCUCUUGAAGUACUAGCAGUUUCUUUUUGCCUUUUAUUUUCUAUUCGGGUUAAUUGUUUUGACAUAUUAUUCAAUAUUGUAUUUGAAUAAUUAAUAUGGGAAUGUAAGUUUUUAAUAUCUUUUACUUGCAUAGGCUUCACUUUUAAUAUCUUUAUAUGGACUUGCUUCUAUUUCUAAAUCUUGUGUGGGUUGUAUUAUGAUUCUUUAUCGUGGAAGGUGUUCCAAUUCUAUUAUUUUUUUUAUUUACUGUUUUCCCAGGUAUUUGAUAUUUUAUCUAGCGAACAUAUAAAUUUAUUAAUUCUGAAAGGAUAUUCUAAGUUAUUGUUUCUACUAUAAUAUGAAAACCAAUCAACGUAUAAAUUUAUUUCAUUUUGUCUUAAGUAAUUAUAAAAUUCUUCUCUAAACUUUUACACAUGUUGUUUUGUAAAUGUUUUAAAAUAUCAAUCUCUUCUUUCUUUAUUAUAAUCAUCUUCAAAAUCUUGUCUAAUCCAAUUUUUAUCUAUUUUAAAAGUUUCUUCUCUACUUAAAGUGUUUAAUAUUUGUAAGGUUGUUGGAGAAUAACAAGGGGAUUCCAAUUUUCUUGAUUCUUCAUAUAGAGGUUUUGUUACAAUUGGUGUAAUGUUACUUAAUCCUCUUAAAUCUAAAUUUAUUGUGGAUCCAUCAACUCAAUGUCUAGAAGAUUGUUCUUUAUAUAUCAUUUGAGGAUUUCUUAUAUUUACAGACGAUGACCUAUUCAUUCUUAAUCUAAUAUUUGUUCCUUCAUGCAUUAUUUCUCUUAUUUGGGUAUUAUAAAGUUUUGGUUCUUCUAUUACAUUUCCUAAUAUCCAUUCUUCAAGGAUCUUGCUUAUUACUUAUUCAUGAUUUAAUUUCUUUGGAAUUUGUACAGAUGAUUUUCUAAGACUAGCUUCUACAAGUAUUGUUUCAUCUUUUGGUGAAGAUUUUAGGACUUUAUAAUUAUAAUCUAUUUUUGUAACUUUAAAAUAAAUUCUAUAGAUUACUUGUAUUACACCUGAUAGUUAAUCUAUAAUUGCAUAUGGAAUUUGUACAUAUAAUUUUAUUGCAUUACUUGUUUUAUCAUUUCUGAUAUUCAUAGAAAAACUAGGAUAUCAGUUAAAGAAAGCAGGAUCAUUAUGUAAAUUACUUUCUAAUAUUGCAAUUAUUGAGUCAUUAAACUUUUUAAGUCUUAUGUCUCUUAAUACCAUAAGUAUUGGGCUAUUUACUCAUAAUAUGUAGUUUAGCUUUGCAGCUACUUGAAUUAAUCCUAAGUGAAUAAAGUUAUAUCUAUCUUUAAUGUGUUGAUCUAAAAGUGAUUGUUCUAAUAUGCUAAUAAUUUUAUUGUUUUUAGUCCCUAGAUAAUUGUAUUCUACAAUAUGGACUUCGUCUUGAUUUCUAGGCUAAAACUUAUGUUGUUUAUAUACUUCAUAUUUUUUUACUAUUGGUAUUGACCAAUUAUGUAAAGAGUUUUCUAUUUCUACAAUUUGUAAUUAUUUAUCUUUAUUGUUCUUUGAAGAAGAAGAAACUUCUUUUUGGCUAGAUCUAACUACUAUUUGUUUAUCUUUGUUUCUUAAUCUUAAAUCACUUAAUGUUCUAAGUAUGUUUGGCAUCCUUAAUCUUUCCCUUGUGUCCAUGUUACGGGACCACCUCUUUCCACUAUCUAGCUUACCAACGGUCAUACCACCUCUCUCAAGCCUUACUGUCGACACCAGUAGAUCUAAAGGUUGACCAACGUAUUAACACUUCUCAGUGUUAUACGGAGACUUUUGAAAGGAUUAAGAAGUCCAAUGACCUCAAAACCUUAAGGAAAUUUGGAUUAAGAUUCAAAGUAAACUUUUAAUAGUUAAGUUAACCAACAAAAUGACCCAACUCUUUCAACUUGUUUUCUAAGUAUUUUAUGUUACUUUUAUACUAGACUAUAGUCCAAGCAUAUCUUGUAAGGUCUUCUAAUAAUAAUUUAUCUUUUUGUGAUAUGUGUUUUGUCAAG